UACGGAGGAUGCGAGCGUUAUCCGGAUUUAUUGGGUUUAAAGGGUGCGUAGGCGGGCGAAUAAGCGUGUGGUGAAAUGCCCCGGCUCAACCGGGGAACUGCCUCGCGAACUGUUCAUCUUGAAUGCUCCUGCCGUGGGAGGAAUGGGUAGUGUAGCGGUGAAAUGCAUAGAUAUUACCCUGAACACCGAUUGCGAAGGCAUCUCACGAAGGGGCAAUUGACGCUGAGGCACGAAAGCGUGGGGAUCGAAC
Molecule: ribosomal RNA, 250 nt
Filed under: uncultured prokaryote
Description: partial 16S ribosomal RNA
Rfam family: Bacterial small subunit ribosomal RNA
Source: RNAcentral